Long non-coding RNA from Sinocyclocheilus rhinocerous, 571 nucleotides. RefSeq lists it as uncharacterized. Lineage: Eukaryota; Metazoa; Chordata; Actinopteri; Cypriniformes; Cyprinidae. The transcript is spliced from 3 exons. The record is from RefSeq and is a predicted model, not a curated record.
UCAAGAUGAAAGUCUAUGGCUACGCCCCAGGCUAUGUAAUAAAGACCAGACAGGCUCUGAGGUAGAUCGAGCCGCUAAUACCACACCAAUUAACUUGUAAAAGAAAAAAAGAAAAAUGGUGUUAGGAUACCCCCUACUGGUUGUUAUCGGAUUUUACGCUGAGUUCUAAGGAGCCGCCCCCCCACACUACGAAUUGUUAAAAAGCUAAAGUUGUACAACGUUCAUUAGACCUACCUGUAACUCUAUCUUCACCGUGUACAACGUUCAUUAUCUCAUCAAUCGUCUGAACAAUGGCUGACAAUUACGAUGGUAAGUGUGUUUUUCAUCAUUGUUAUUUAAAUAUAUUUAAACGUGAAUAUUUGUUUAACACCCUGUGUUUAUAAUCUCUAGGUACUUUUGAGAAUCUGGAUUUCGACGAAGGUUUGGAACAGAUCCUUGAAGAGCUAUUUGACGAGGCCCAAUUAGUUACCUGUGAUGAUGACUGCGAAGUUAAUAACGGUGAACACGUUGGUUCUGACAGCCACAUGGUAAUAUUACCUACAGAGGAGGCGUUGCAAGAGGUUGUAGUUAG